UGCUGCAACAUUCAGAAUUAAAGCAGGCUGCUGGAAAUCCCUCUUCAGACCAGUUGGAGCAGGGACACUAACAGACCUGUUUUAAGAACGGAGUUGCACACAUGAGAUCCGCAGAAGAGGAGCAGAAGGGCAGGAAGUAGAAUACAAAGAGGGACCACACAUCUUGAAGAACCUCCAGUUACAGGCAGAUGGCCCAGGCCUGGGGGAUGUUGAGGGAGUGAAGAUAUCGUCCCUCUGUCAAGGCGUGAGGCUUUGGGAAGAAAGAAGGUGGAUCACACAUGAGAGGACACCAGUAGCUCUGACUCAGACCAUGAGGCGGUGAGAAAGAACUGAGGGCACAGGCGGUCCACACAACCCUUCAUCACCUCUGAUGAAACCAUGAGGCAAAGCAAGGGCGCACACGCAGAUCAACGCAGAUCACACGCAGAUCAAGUGGUCAGCUGUCAUUCCAUAUAGCCUUGGCCCUUUAAAGUUUCAACAUCUGCCUGGCUGGAUCCAAGACUGACUUCACUUUUCUUUCCCAACUUCAAAAAUUACUCCAUGUCUCUAACUUAUUUUACUACCAGAAAGCUAAAAGCCAGACCAACACCUCAUUUGCUU
This is a long non-coding RNA of Caretta caretta (loggerhead turtle), 600 nucleotides long. RefSeq lists it as uncharacterized. The record is from RefSeq and is a predicted model, not a curated record. NCBI's taxonomy places the organism in Eukaryota, Metazoa, Chordata, Testudines, Cheloniidae.